RNAcentral lists this ribosomal RNA (253 nucleotides) under uncultured bacterium. RNAcentral's name for it is "partial 16S ribosomal RNA". It matches the Rfam family "Bacterial small subunit ribosomal RNA", at positions 524 to 776 of the family's 1533-position model. The record is from RNAcentral.
UACGUAGGGUGCGAGCGUUAAUCGGAAUUACUGGGCGUAAAGCGUGCGCAGGCGGUUGUACAAGUCAGGUGUGAAAUCCCCGGGCUUAACCUGGGAACUGCACUUGUGACUGUACGACUGGAGUACGGCAGAGGGGGAUGGAAUUCCGCGUGUAGCAGUGAAAUGCGUAGAUAUGCGGAGGAACACCGAUGGCGAAGGCGGCGGCCUGGGUUGACACUGACGCUGAGGCGCGAAAGCGUGGGGAGCAAACAGG